AUUUAACGCUGGCGGCAGGCCUAACACAUGCAAGUCUAACGAGUGGCGGACGGGUGAGUAAUGUCUGGGAAACUGCCUGAUGGAGGGGGAUAACUACUGGAAACGGUAGCUAAUUCCGCAUACCAUCAGAUGUGCCCAGAUGGGAUUAGCUAGUUUGUGGGGUAACGGCUCACCAGGGCGACGAUCCCUUCCUGGUCUGAGAGGAUGACCAGCCAAAAUGGAACUGAGAAACGGGCCAGACUCCGACGGGAGGCAGCAGUGGGGAAGAGUGCACAAUGGGCGCAAGCAUGAUGCAGCCAUGCCGCGUGUAUGAAGAAGGGCUUCGGGUUGUAAAGGAAUUUCAGUGGGGAGGCGUUACCCGCAGAAGGAGCACCGGCUAACUCCGUGCCAGCAGCAGCGGUAAUUC
This 406-nucleotide ribosomal RNA is filed under the name uncultured bacterium. RNAcentral's name for it is "partial 16S ribosomal RNA". It matches the Rfam family "Bacterial small subunit ribosomal RNA", at positions 30 to 526 of the family's 1533-position model. The record is from RNAcentral.